RNAcentral lists this ribosomal RNA (460 nucleotides) under uncultured bacterium. Its description in RNAcentral is "partial 16S ribosomal RNA". It matches the Rfam family "Bacterial small subunit ribosomal RNA", at positions 338 to 795 of the family's 1533-position model. The record is from RNAcentral.
CCUACGGGAGGCAGCAGUGAGGAAUAUUGGUCAAUGGCCGCAGGGCUGAACCAGCCAAGUCGCGUGAGGGAUGACGGUCCUAUGGAUUGUAAACCUCUUUUGUCAGGGAGCAAAGGGCGCCACGUGUGGCGUUUUGCGAGUACCUUAAGAAAAAGCAUCGGCUAACUCCGUGCCAGCAGCCGCGGUAAUCCGGAGGAUGCGAGCGUUAUCCGGAUUUAUUGGGUUUAAAGGGUGCGUAGGCGGAUUGAUAAGUUAGAUGUGAAAUGUGCGAGCUUAACUCGGGAACUGCCUCUAAUACUGGAGGUCUAGAGAGUAGAGGCGGUAGGCGGAAUGUAUGGUGGAGCGGGGAAAGGCUUAGAGAUAAUACAGAACACCGAUUGCGAAGGCAGCUUACCAAGCUAUAUCUGACGUUGAGGCACGAAAGUGUGGGGAGCAAACAGGAUUAGAUACCCCGGUAGGC